Molecule: long non-coding RNA, 869 nt
Organism: Venturia canescens
Lineage: Eukaryota; Metazoa; Arthropoda; Insecta; Hymenoptera; Ichneumonidae
Exons: 2
Source: RefSeq, a predicted model, not a curated record
CCACAUCUGUGUUAACAUAUUUGGAACUAAACUCGGAUGUUAGGUUAAAUUUUUGUGUACAUUCUACUUCAUCCUAUCUCGAAAUUAUAUGAAAAAAAUUGAGCUGAGUUUGAACCGCGUCGGAGAAGAAAACGGGCAUAAAACGUGUUCGAUUUGAAGUAAACGCGGUGACGCUGGUUGCGUUCACGUCAUGUUCGUCUUGGUGCGAUUACAAAAUGACGGAACCAACAAGUGAUUUGUUCUUUUUCAAUUACACUCGACGAAAUAACACUGAAUUCAUCGAAAAGUGAAGACAGCGAAACAAGCAGUAGUGCGAUAACAGAGAUAACAAACGGUUCUCUCUGUGGAUGCGUUCAACCACUUGAACGUCGGGAGCGUUGAAAACAAACGCACCCAUCUAAACGCUUGUAACGUCUACAAUGCCAAGUCGAACGCAAAAUAGAAUGUACCCAAUUGUUGAUCCCGCGCUCGCCUGGCGGGUAACAUGAAGAUCAUGGGAAAAGAGGUUAGCUGAACGCAUGGACUGAACAGCUGAACAUGGAUUUGCGUCGGUCUAUCUUCGAAGGUAUCCAGCCUCGCUGCAAAGCAUGGAAGCAAAGUGAUUGGAAUUACGUGCACAUUAAUCCACUCGCUUGCAAGUUAGCGCAUUAGAAAACAUCGGUUGGCGGUCGGAAUCAUUUUGAUCGGCCCAGUAAGGCCGACUGUUCGGAAAUAAUUGAUUAAUUAUUAAAUAAUCUGCUGACUACUCGACGAUAAAAUUAUGAUUUUAUUCGUGACCAUUGAACCACUCUGUAUCAGUUUAUCGCAUUUGAUAUGCAAUCGUGAUUUCGUGAAAGAAUAAUAAAAGUUCGGUACAUUCGCAUCUAAAA